This 132-nucleotide small RNA is filed under the name Escherichia coli. Its description in RNAcentral is "RtT sRNA". It matches the Rfam family "RtT RNA". From Rfam's summary of the family: This family represents a bacterial cis-regulatory element known as RtT RNA. The exact function of RtT is unknown although it is thought that it may be involved in changing the cellular response in relation to amino acid starvation. The record is from RNAcentral. Lineage: Bacteria; Pseudomonadati; Pseudomonadota; Gammaproteobacteria; Enterobacterales; Enterobacteriaceae.
AUUCUGCCCAUGCGGGGAAGGAUGAGAAGCCUCGACCAAGGUUCGACUCGAGCGCCAGCGAGAGAGCGUUGCCGCAGGCAACGACCCGAAGGGCGAAGCGCGCAGCGUUGAGUAAUUCUUCCCCCACCACCA